UAUACAGCGAAACUGCGAAUGGCUCAUUAUAUAAGUUAUCGUUUAUUUGGUAGUGCCUUACUACUUGGAUAACCGUGGUAAUUCUAGAGCUAAUACAUGCUAAAAACCCCGACUUCGGAAGGGGUGUAUUUAUUAGAUACAAAACCAAUGCCCUUCGGGGCUCUUUGGUGAUUCAUGAUAACUAUACGAAUCGCACGGCCUUGCGCCGGCGAUGGUUCAUUCAAAUUUCUUCCCUAUCAACUUUCGAUGUUUGGGUAUUGGCCAAACAUGGUUGCAACGGGUAACGGAGGGUUAGGGCUCGACCCCGGAGAAGGAGCCUGAGAAACGGCUACUACAUCCAAGGAAGGCAGCAGGCGCGCAAAUUACCCAAUCCCGACUCGGGGAGGUAGUGACAAUAAAUACUGAUACAGGGCCCUUUCGGGCCUUGUAAUUGGAAUGAGUACAAUUUAAAUCCCUUAACGAGGAACAAUUGGAGGGCAAGUCUGGUGCCAGCAGCCGCGGUAAUUCCAGCUCCAAUAGCGUAUAU
Molecule: ribosomal RNA, 526 nt
Filed under: uncultured eukaryote
Lineage: Eukaryota
Description: SSU rRNA
Rfam family: Eukaryotic small subunit ribosomal RNA
Source: RNAcentral